AUGCAAGUCGAACGAUGAAGGGGAGCUUGCUCCCUGGAUUAGUGGCGAACGGGUGAGUAACACGUGAGUAACCUGCCCUGGACUCUGGGAUAACCCCGAGAAAUCGGAGCUAAUACCGGAUAGGACCCUUUUCCGCAUGGUUUUGGGUGGAAAGUUUUUCGGUCUGGGAUGGACUCGCGGCCUAUCAGCUUGUUGGUGAGGUAAUGGCUCACCAAGGCGUCGACGGGUAGCCGGCCUGAGAGGGUGACCGGCCACACUGGGACUGAGACACGGCCCAGACUCCUACGGGAGGCAGCAGUGGGGAAUAUUGCACAAUGGGCGCAAGCCUGAUGCAGCAACGCCGCGUGCGGGAUGACGGCCUUCGGGUUGUAAACCGCUUUUAGUAAGGAAGAAGGGGAGCGUGAGCUUCUUGACGGUACUUGCAGAAAAAGGACCGGCUAACUACGUGCCAGCAGCCGCGGUAAUACGUAGGGUCCGAGCGUUGUCCGGAAUUAUUGGGCGUAAAGAGCUCGUAGGCGGUUUGUCGCGUCUGCUGUGAAAUCCCGAGGCUCAACCUCGGGUCUGCAGUGGGUACGGGCAGACUGGAGUGCGGUAGGGGAGAAUGGAAUUCCUGGUGUAGCGGUGGAAUGCGCAGAUAUCAGGAGGAACACCGAUGGCGAAGGCAGUUCUCUGGGCCGUAACUGACGCUGAGGAGCGAAAGCGUGGGGAGCGAACAGGAUUAGAUACCCUGGUAGUCCACGCCGUAAACGUUGGGCGCUAGAUGUGGGGACCUUUCCACGGUUUCCGUGUCGUAGCUAACGCAUUAAGCGCCCCGCCUGGGGAGUACGGCCGCAAGGCUAAAACUCAAAGGAAUUGACGGGGGCCCGCACAAGCGGCGGAGCAUGCGGAUUAAUUCGAUGCAACGCGAAGAACCUUACCAAGGCUUGACAUGACCGAGAACGCCGCAGAAAUGUGGAACUCUUUGGACACUCGGUUACAGGUGGUGCAUGGUUGUCGUCAGCUCGUGUCGUG
Molecule: ribosomal RNA, 1011 nt
Filed under: Agromyces humatus
Lineage: Bacteria; Bacillati; Actinomycetota; Actinomycetes; Micrococcales; Microbacteriaceae
Description: bacterial SSU rRNA
Rfam family: Bacterial small subunit ribosomal RNA
Source: RNAcentral